CUCAGCCCCUGUACGUCAUCGGUUUUGUCAUCAAUUUCACUUCCCUAAACGACGUGGAAUGCUGAACAUGAAACACUGUGACCUUGUGACGUAAGAAGUGGCCAUCUGUAAACAAGCUGGAGCUGCAUCUACUCCCAUGAGGAACUCUGGGGGGGUGGGCUUAUCUGAUAGAAGAUAACUCAGAAGAUUAGAGUGGAUGAAUCUUCACAGAAAAGGCCCUGGGGAAUUGAAUUGUUCUCAAUGGACAUGCUAUUCUCAUGGCCUUGCAGUCAGAGGUUUUGGACAGUUGACUUCAGGAAGGAUAAUAGAAAUCCUUGGGGAAAGAGGAGAAGCCUUUCCCAGUACACCAGGAUGUCACUGGAACGCAUCUUUAAUAUACUUGUCUUCCAAUUCUGCUCAGUUAAUAAGUGGAAUUCACUUUAUCUCUUUACUGGCAUUCUGUUACUGCCUCUGGUAAAAAUUUCGACUGCCUAUAAUAAUAUUAUAAUUCUAUUGUAAUUAAAAUGUUUUAUUGUUUUUCAUAACCAUGCUGUAAAUGAAGGCAGCUAUUGCAGAAUAAGCCAUAUAAGCCAUCUGUUGGUCAGUUAGUGAGUGCAUGAGUUUUAAAUGGAGACUGUAUAAUAACAAGACAAAACUGUUCACAGUGGAGGGAAUCAGUGUUGUCGGAAUAGCUAAUUUCUGAUGCCCCAAUGUGGCCAAAAUAGGUAUUGCAGUUACAAUGACCAAAGGCUUUUUAGUCUGAAGGGUAUCACAACUAUUGAAUACUGAGAUACUGAAUAAAAACUACAAAUUUGG
Molecule: long non-coding RNA, 795 nt
Organism: Notolabrus celidotus (New Zealand spotty)
Lineage: Eukaryota; Metazoa; Chordata; Actinopteri; Labriformes; Labridae
Exons: 2
Source: RefSeq, a predicted model, not a curated record